UUUUUUGUGCAAUAAAUUAGUUUGGAACCAGGUCAGAAUGGAAACAUAGCAGCCUUAACAAAUUUAAUUUAUGUGCACUUUUUU
This 84-nucleotide signal recognition particle RNA is filed under the name Candidatus Onthousia faecavium. RNAcentral describes it as "signal recognition particle sRNA small type". It matches the Rfam family "Bacterial small signal recognition particle RNA". From Rfam's summary of the family: The signal recognition particle (SRP) is a universally conserved ribonucleoprotein involved in the co-translational targeting of proteins to membranes. Archaeal SRP consists of a 7S RNA and homologues of the eukaryotic SRP19 and SRP54 proteins. The record is from RNAcentral. Lineage: Bacteria; Bacillati; Bacillota; Bacilli.